UACUGUGAAAAUGCAUAUUAGUAAACUUUUAUAGGGGAAGGAGCAAAACAAUGACAAUGUAAUGAUUUCUAUCUUAAAACAAUACAUCUAAACAUGUAAAAAGCAUUAAAAAAAACAAAAAAAACCUGCUAUAUUAUAGAAUUUCACCUGUGAUUUUGUUGUUGUUUUAAUCUAUUUUAUCACCACUUGGUGGCAAUAUAGGAGCACUGUUGAAUAACUCCUUUUGCAUAACUGUUGCUGGCAGUGUGAAUUAUGAAAGUAAUGCAAUGCGUUCCGCUCUCCAAUUGUCUGAUUUUCAGAAAAGCUAAUUUUUUUUAUUUGAGUUAAACAAGGUCUAUUUGAAAUCUAUAAAAAUGUUAUUAAAUAGGUUACUGAGAGUUUUAUAUUAUGAUUAGAGAUAACAACACUAUUUAAAUUGCACAUUUGCCAUAUAUUAUAAUAAAUUACAAGAUUCAGUUAUAUAAGCACUUUAAAACCUAAACUAUUUGCUACCAAUACCAUGGUGAUAAAAAAAAUAAAUAGUGUCAAUAAGGUUGUAUAAGAAUAUUGUACACAUUUAAUCGUUUUAGACUACAGACAAAAACUUCAUAAAAAUAGCUUUUUUUGUUUUCCCUUAUCUUUUUCUGGUGUUUACAAAUUUUGUGGUUUUAAUUGCAGUUUCCUCUAAUAUUGAUUUUUAUUCUAUUCUGUAUUUGCUCAGAAGCUCAGGAGCUGCUCUUUGGUUUUAGUUUCCUGCCCUAGACAUAUUGUAUAAUGGAGGCAAGAUCUGCCAGUGUCUUAUAUUAGUAAUUCCCACACAGCUGUGCAUAGCAAGGAUAACAACAGAACACUUGUAUUAAAAUGAGCUGUCUUCGUGAUGGGGCAGGCUGUAACUUCUAUAAACACACUAUGUUUGAUCCAGCCUAUGUAAUUUACAAUAUGUCCGGUAAUUUACAAUACAUACUACAAUGGUAAGGGGGCAGUAAAAAAAUAAGGAAUAAAAUGCAAUUUGCAAGUGGUUACUCUUUAACUCCCUUUUAUUGACUCAGAGACUGAUCUGUGGCACAGUUAUCACGCAGUCCCAAGAACGGCAUGUUGUGAAGAACGUGACUUUUACCCCAGCUUCCUUUGUUUAAUCAGCAUGUAUAAUCUACUGCAAAGUACAUUUCUCCAGAUGCACAAAUGAGCUGAUACAGAGAAGCUCCCCUCAGAGUUGAGAAUCAUAAAAAUUGUAAAGUGGAGUUGGGUGGUAUGAGAGGUUGAUUAGAGUUUUUUACACAGGAUUUUAAGACUUUGUUUCUGUUACUAAUUCACUACAACCCCCAUUUCUUACCCUCAUUAAAAAAGUUAUUACCUCCUGGUAGAAACCAAUAAUGUAAUUUUUGAAAACCCUCCAAUCAGCCUAGUUAAAAUAGUUGUUCAAAACGAUACACAUUAAGUUGCUAUGCAACAAAAUAGCUGUAGUGUAAGGAGCCUCUGUUUUGCAGUUAUUUGUGAAAAAGGCUGAUGAGAAAACUGUUCAGAUAAAUAAAAUUGAUUUACAAAUAAUUUUACAUGUGACCAAUAUACAUUAUAUAAACCAGUCACAAGAUGCUUGAUACUGUUAAAUACUAAUAAGAUAUUUUAUAGCAAUAACCUCUCUUUGGUUCCAUCUGAAACUUUCUUAGGUCCAUCUUCUUCCUGAAAUAGAAUUCAGAAACGUUCUCUGUUUGCUGAAAAUACAACUGCUCACCGCUACCAUCCCUGCGCUGAGUCAGGAGGUUACAGACGAACACACGCUGUCCUCUGAGGCGUGUGCCGUCAUCUGACCGCUUCUUUACACGCUGCGGAUUGAUCAUCC
Molecule: long non-coding RNA, 1819 nt
Organism: Polyodon spathula (Mississippi paddlefish)
Lineage: Eukaryota; Metazoa; Chordata; Actinopteri; Acipenseriformes; Polyodontidae
Exons: 3
Source: RefSeq, a predicted model, not a curated record